Small nucleolar RNA from Mustela putorius furo (domestic ferret), 75 nucleotides. NCBI's taxonomy places the organism in Eukaryota, Metazoa, Chordata, Mammalia, Carnivora, Mustelidae. The record is from Ensembl.
AUUCUAUGAUGACUUUAUCAAAAUGACUUUCACUCUUCUGAGUAUGCUGAAGCUACCUACCAGGUACUGAGAAAG